This 626-nucleotide ribosomal RNA is filed under the name Anatololacerta sp. CI-2014a. Its description in RNAcentral is "partial 16S ribosomal RNA". The record is from RNAcentral. Lineage: Eukaryota; Metazoa; Chordata; Lepidosauria; Squamata; Lacertidae.
GGAAGACCUAAAAAUAGAGGGCAAAAAGCCAACCGAGCUUGGUGAUAGCUGGUUACUCAACAAAUGAACCUUAGUUCAACUUUAGGUGCCCAUGGGCCAACUACUUUAACCCACCACCCUUUAACCUAAAGAAAUUCAAUGGGGGUACAGCCCCAUUGAACCGGAAUACAACCCGAAUUGAGAGACACCUACUAAACUUUAACCCUAACAGUAGGCCCCAAAGCAGCCACCAACUAAACGCGUUACAGCUACAACAAAACAAUUUUUACAAUAAUAUACACCUCCUAGUAUACCACGAGUUAUUCUAUUUUUUAAUAGAAACACCAAUGCUAAAAUUAGUAAUAAGAAACCCUAAUUUCUCUCCGCACCCCCUUAAAUCAGAAUAGAAAAACUACUGAUAAUUAACACAACACGACCUACCACAACUAGCUAACAUGUCAACUAAAAUCUGUUACCCCAACACAGGAGUGCAAUAAAGAAAGGCCAAAAGCCGUAAAAGGAACUCGGCAAAACUCUACCGUCCCCACUGUUUACCAAAAACAUAGUCUUUAUCUUAACAAGUAUUAAAGGUCCCGCCUGCCCAGUGACUCUUUAAACGGCCGCGGUAUCCUAACCGUGCAAAGGUA